UACGAGAGGCAGCAGUGGGGAAUUUUGGACAAUGGGCGCAACCCUGAUCCAGCCAUUCCGCGUGCAGGAAGAAGGCCUUCGGGUUGUAAAUCUCUUUUGUCCGGAAAGAAAGGGCUGGGGAUAAUACCUGGGGCUCAUGACGGUACCGUAAGAAUAAGCCCCGGCUAACUACGUCCCAGCAGCCGCGGUAAUACGUAGGGCGCAAGCGUUUAUCGGAAUUACUGGGCGUAAAGCGUGCGCAGGCGGUUAUGAAAGACAGAUGUGAAAUCCCCGGGCUCAACCUGGGAACUGCUUUUGAGACUGCAGCUCUAGAGUGCGACAGAGGGGGGUGGAAUUCCGCGUGUAGCAGUAAAAUGCGUAGAUAUGGGGAGGAACACCGAUGGCGAAGGCAAUCCCCUGGGCCUGCACAGACGCUCAUGCAAGAAAGCGGGGGGAGCAAACAGGAUUAGAUCCCCUGGUAGUCCACGCCCUAAACGAUGUCAACUGGGUGUUGGGUCUUCACUGACUCAGUAACGAAGCUAACGCGUGAAGUG
This 533-nucleotide ribosomal RNA is filed under the name uncultured beta proteobacterium. RNAcentral's name for it is "bacterial SSU rRNA". It matches the Rfam family "Bacterial small subunit ribosomal RNA", at positions 340 to 866 of the family's 1533-position model. The record is from RNAcentral. Lineage: Bacteria; Pseudomonadati; Pseudomonadota; Betaproteobacteria.